Molecule: ribosomal RNA, 2182 nt
Filed under: uncultured Sebacinales
Lineage: Eukaryota; Fungi; Basidiomycota; Agaricomycetes; Sebacinales
Description: eukaryotic LSU rRNA
Rfam family: Eukaryotic large subunit ribosomal RNA (bases 1043-2182)
Source: RNAcentral
CUUGGUCAUUUAGAGGAAGUAAAAGUCGUAACAAGGUUUCCGUAGCUCAAGUCUACGAAGAACAGUAAUGUUCCUUCCGCAGAGUACACUUGCAGAAGCCUUAGUGGCCUGAAAGGGUUUCAUCAGCGACUCUAAACAAGUAGGUGGAUUAAACGCUAGUCUCUUUCAAAGAGGCGACACUAUCAAAUUGCGGGAAGAUCCUGUCAGGUCCACAUCACCGCGGCUCACCGAAAGGUGUAGUGCAGCACCAGGCUAACAACCUUGGGUAUGGUAAUAGUAUGUGGAAUAGGGAGAAUCUGCAGCCAAGCCCCUCUCUUGGGGUGCAGUUCACAGGCCAAAUGGUAGUGGGCACUCUGGUGCUUAAGAUAUGGUCGAGUCCCAAUUGAAAAAUUGGGUACAAGUACUCUGAUUGAUUACAUACAGUCUAUGCUCAGUCGAAUACAGCUAGUUGUAAAUGCAAAUGUUCCGUAGGUGAACCUGCGGAAGGAUCAUUAAUGAAUUAAAGUCGAUCUUCUGUGCUGGUGGCAACACAUGUGCACGUUGAUCGCAAAUCCACACACCUGUGCACCUUUGACUUUGGGAUCUGCUUAUCUGACUUGACUUUGUGCCUGUCUGGAUCCCAGAGUAUUUUUACACACUCUGAAUGUAAUGGAAUGUAUCUGUGCAUAAUGUACAAAAAUACAACUUUCAACAACGGAUCUCUUGGCUCUCGCACCGAUGAAGAACGCAGCGAAAUGCGAUAAGUAAUGUGAAUUGCAGAAUUCAGUGAAUCAUCGAAUCUUUGAACGCACCUUGCACCCUUUGGUAUUCCGAAGGGUACACCCGUUUGAGUGUCAUUGUAAUCUCACUCCAUCAGCUAUUUGUUGAUGGAUGUGGACCUGGACCCUGUUGUGUUACUACAACUGGUCUGAAAUGCAUGAGUGCACCCUGCUAUUGCAGCGUUUUCAGUGUGAUAAGCAUCUUCACUGGACCAAGCUCCCUUGGGACACGCAGCAUUGUGGGCUCUGUGCUGGCAAACUGUCUUUGGACAACUUUGACAAUUUGACCUCAGAUCGGGUGGGACUACCCGCUGAACUUAAGCAUAUCAAUAAGCGGAGGAAAAGAAACUAACAAGGAUUCCCCUAGUAACGGCGAGUGAAGAGGGAAAAGCUCAAAUUUUGAAUCUGGUGCCUUUGGCAUCCGAGUUGUAAUCUAGAGAAGUGUUUUUUGCCUUGGACCACACAUAAAUUCCCUGGAAUGGGGUGUCAUAGAGGGUGAGAAUCCCGUUUGUGGUGUGGACUACCUUGGCUAUGUAAUACACUCUCAACGAGUCGAGUUGUUUGGGAAUGCAGCUCAAAAUGGGUGGUAAAUUCCAUCUAAAGCUAAAUACUGGCGAGAGACCGAUAGCGAACAAGUACCGUGAGGGAAAGAUGAAAAGCACUUUGGAAAGAGAGUGAAACAGUACGUGAAAUUGUUGAAAGGGAAGCGUUUGAAGUCAGUCACAUUGGUCAGAAUUCAGCCUGGCUUCUGCCUGGUUCACUUUUUGGCAAAUGGGUCAGCAUCAAUUUUUGAUUGAGGGAGAAAGACUUGAGGAAUGUGGCUGUCUUCGGACAGUGUUAUAGCCUCUUGUUGUAUGUCUCAAUUGGGAUUGAGGAAUGCAGCACGCCUUAUGGCCGGGGUUCGCCCUCGGUACGUGCUUAGGAUGUUGACAUAAUGGCUUUAAGCGACCCGUCUUGAAACACGGACCAAGGAGUCUAACAUGUGCGCGAGUGUUUAGGUGUCAAACCUGGGCGCGUAAUGAAAGUGAAAAGUCGGGAUCAUGUACUUGUGCACCGACACCCGGAGCAGACCUUCUGUGACGCAUCCGCGGUAGAGCGUAUAUGUUGGGACCCGAAAGAUGGUGAACUAUGCCUGAAUAGGGUGAAGCCAGAGGAAACUCUGGUGGAGGCUCGUAGCGAUUCUGACGUGCAAAUCGAUCGUCAAAUUUGGGUAUAGGGGCGAAAGACUAAUCGAACCAUCUAGUAGCUGGUUCCUGCCGAAGUUUCCCUCAGGAUAGCAGAAACUCAUUAUCAGCCUUGUGCGGUAAAGCGAAUGAUUAGAGGCCUUGGGGUUGAAACAACCUUAACCUAUUCUCAAACUCUAAAUGUGCAAGAUAGAGUUGUCACUUGAUUGGACUUCUCUGUGGGUGAGAGUUUCUAGUGGG